Molecule: ribosomal RNA, 438 nt
Filed under: Pseudomonas sp. R-37082
Lineage: Bacteria; Pseudomonadati; Pseudomonadota; Gammaproteobacteria; Pseudomonadales; Pseudomonadaceae
Also listed under: 3 other names
Description: bacterial SSU rRNA
Rfam family: Bacterial small subunit ribosomal RNA
Source: RNAcentral
GGCUCAGAUUGAACGCUGGCGGCAGGCCUAACACAUGCAAGUCGAGCGGUAGAGAGAAGCUUGCUUCUCUUGAGAGCGGCGGACGGGUGAGUAAUGCCUAGGAAUCUGCCUGGUAGUGGGGGAUAACGUUCGGAAACGGACGCUAAUACCGCAUACGUCCUACGGGAGAAAGCAGGGGACCUUCGGGCCUUGCGCUAUCAGAUGAGCCUAGGUCGGAUUAGCUAGUUGGUGAGGUAAUGGCUCACCAAGGCGACGAUCCGUAACUGGUCUGAGAGGAUGAUCAGUCACACUGGAACUGAGACACGGUCCAGACUCCUACGGGAGGCAGCAGUGGGGAAUAUUGGACAAUGGGCGAAAGCCUGAUCCAGCCAUGCCGCGUGUGUGAAGAAGGUCUUCGGAUUGUAAAGCACUUUAAGUUGGGAGGAAGGGUUGUAGAUU